CCUGCCCACCCCAGGGAGGCCCCCCGUAAAGCAUCACGGGGGAGGGCGACGCCCCGUUGCCCCUUCACGGCCCCUGCCCCGUUGCCCCUUCACGGCCCCUGCCCCGCGCGGCGCGUCGUGCUCCUCUAACCCCGAAGGCGGCGGUCCCCGAAAUCCCGGCCCCGCCUUCCCGAAGCCCCUCUUUUGCCCCUCCUGCACUCGGUGGCCUUUAUUCAGCCCUCACUGUGCGCACAGCACUGGGCAAAAGGAGGAGGAGUUGUCCAAGAAGGGACUGAAAUGAGCCACCCACCCGCCCCCAGGUCGAAUCCCCCUUCCCAGGAGGAAAGGAAAAGGGUGAAACUUCAGCUUCAUUCCAUAGGAGGGUGAAGUGGCAGAGGGAGACUCCAAGGAGGCGCACACAUACAGACGCACGCUCUGGCAAUAGGUCAUCCAGUGGCAAUCUCCGACUCCGCAGCUGAAGUGGCAGUUGGGCCACAGGUCUCGGUCACCCUCCCUCCCCCCAAGAAAGCACCUGCCUGGAGCUUCUCGCACGUGGAAACUAGGAAUGACCCCAAAUACUUGUCUCUUCCCUCCUCUUGGCCCUUCUCCUCCUCUCCAAAUCAACAGGCGAGCUCAGCCCAGGAAAGGCCGAACUUGCAGAAAGGGCCGGGAAAGAGAAAGUGGAUCGAAAAGAAAAGCUGAUUGAUUUCCUCAACCGAAUCCCUCCAUUAUUGGCUCCAGAGGAGAGAACCCUCGUCUCCUAAGGUUUAGCCUCAGAUGGGAUCCAAAGCAAACAGGGACUGCACUUCAAGAUUUUCUCAAGCAAUGAGGAAAGACAGAGUACAGCAUCUUGAAACUGUCUGUCUACUGUACAAGCUAUAAUUCAGUUGAGAAGAACUUCAAAUCUGAGCAGGAAAUGAAGACCCAGAAACAACUGUAAAUAACCUCCAUCCCUUCAUGAUCCCAAAAAACCAAGACAAACAGGAGAAACAACUAGGUGGAUAAAAAGUCAAGACUUAUUUGUUGCUCGUUAAAAGGGGACAUGUUUUUCUGGCCUACCUCCAAUUUACCAAAAGAUAAUCUGCCAACCCGCUGCCCUGCGACAUCUCCACGGCUUCGGUUGAAUCUUGUGCAUUUUUGAAUAAUAGCUGUAUUGUUUCCUGUGAUGCGGGACCUGAGAUCUGAAGUGCCGGACAGACCGACGGCAUUCACGUCUGAGGAAACUGUCAACCUCCAAGGACGUUGAUAACAAGUGAGCCCACGCCAUCAAGGAAACUUCUCAAAGUCAGGGUGGGAAGAACUUGGAGGAUACCGCUGGACAGCCAACUCAGGGCAGCCCAUGUAGAAGAUUUCCACCUGCGAGAACAAGAGUCUUCCUUUGAAAGCUGGCUCAGCUAAACUCCAAGGUCUGCAGGAAAUGCAGCAAGCAGGAACAGCUCAAACUACUCUCUCCACCCACAGAACUGCUGACAUCCAGGAGGUUCCCUGCUUCCAGCCCAAUGUCUGCUCUGAACAAGAAGUGGAGACCAUCCCUUCCCCAGAGGUGAAAGGCACGAAAUGGGAGCAGAGCCGCUUAGCCAUUCGCUCUAUAAUGGAGGAGAAAGGAGGAGACGGCUUAAAUUUACCUUCCAGUCCAAUGAAGGCUCCUUCACGAACACAUCCAUGGUGUUGAGGAGGAGGUCCGGGUCUGUGCGGAAAGCGUGGAGGGCGUGCACCAUCACACUGUACACGAGCCCCGAUUCUUUCAUCGGUGACAUCAGAUUAAUGAGUUGGCGAGUCAGACGGAAAGGCAUCAACUCGGGGACCGGCAGAAACUGAAAGAGGGAAGAGCACCCGGGCCCAGCGCAGUGGAGAAUAUCAACUAAAAGUCAGGAGGAAGAAAGGAUUUGGGGGCAAAACGAUUUUAAUUUCUUCUUUACCACCUAUCUUCAGAUUGGAAUAUUUUGGUCUGAGUUCCAGGUGAACUGAGAGAAACUACAGUUGAGGGUCAGUUGGAGCUGAACCACAGGUGUCACUGUUCCCUGGACUGCUGCCUCAGCUCUGAACCUACUGAACUUUGACCCAGUUGGAAAGAUCCUGCCAAUGGAGCCGAAUCAAAUACUCCCCACAGAGGCUGCAAGUGGACACCAGACACAUUCUUGGACUGUGAGAAAAAGCUUUUAUCAGGAAGUUGCAUCUCUUCAAUUCUCCGGCCCGGUUCUGCAUGGAACAGAAGAGUUUGCCUCCUGGGCCAGGAACUCGGGGAGCAUCUGCUGGUUAUGGAAUUUAUCCUUUGAGUCAAACAAAGACUCAUCGGUCAAUAAUGCCAGAGCCAAAAGUAAAACAUGAAAGUAAAAUUAGGCAAACGUCCAAGCAGAGGACAGUCUGUUUGGGAUAGCGUGACCAUUUGUAAAGCUAGCACAUUACCCACCAAGACUAGCUGUAUUCGGUUCUAAAUUUGUCUUUUCUAUUUUUUUUAACCAGUGGCCCCCAAAUCCUCAAGAAUUGUAAUGCUAACUCCCAUCCAAACACAGAUUCAGAGUGAUAACCUGUAAAAUAUAGAAAUUCUUGUUUUUUUUUCCCUGACUCACCUGAGGU
Long non-coding RNA from Ornithorhynchus anatinus (platypus), 2556 nucleotides. RefSeq lists it as uncharacterized. NCBI's taxonomy places the organism in Eukaryota, Metazoa, Chordata, Mammalia, Monotremata, Ornithorhynchidae. The record is from RefSeq and is a predicted model, not a curated record. The transcript is spliced from 9 exons.